Molecule: long non-coding RNA, 702 nt
Filed under: Homo sapiens (human)
Lineage: Eukaryota; Metazoa; Chordata; Mammalia; Primates; Hominidae
Description: novel transcript
Source: RNAcentral
GCAGAGAUUUCUGGAUUGCUUCCUGCUCAUCCUCAGGGGACCAUCUGGAACUGACAGUCUGUCCUCCAGACUCAUAUCUUCCUCUUUCCAAUCAACCAGUCAAUCAUCAAGCAUUUAUGCACACCUUAUGUGCCCAAUAGGCCUCCUUUGCUGUGGAAGAAGCACUGAGAGCCAGAGUGCCCUCCACAUUCACCAGAAGCACAGCUAAGUGUCAAGGCUCAGGUUACAUCUUAGGAAGCAUUUAUGGGGAGGAGACAAGCAGGUUGUAAUCGCAGGCUUUUCAGAGACAUGUCCAGUCUCUCUGUGAGUUUCUUUGGAUCUCAUCUCUGGCAUUUUCCUGCUAAAAUCCAACCUUUCUACCCUUGCCUGACUGACUCUACUCUAAGGCUUUUGAUCUAGAAGAAUAGGUAUCUGAGGAUAGAGCAGUGAACCAAAGAGACAAAAGUCCCUGCCUCUAUGGAGCUACAUUCCAGUUGACUGCUAUAAUGAUGGCUCUCCAGAAUUGUUGUGGUCUGCUUUCAAGUUCUGAGCCUAGCUGCAUGCCAGAAUCACACCAUCUGAGGCUUAAUGAAUCAGCAUCUCCAAGAUUGGCAAAAGUGCCGCUAUCAAAGACAGGUAGAAUGACUCCUGUCUCUAGCUGCUUUCCUGGCACUUGAGCUAUGCAGUGAUAAUACAAGUUGGGAGGACUCAACAGAAGCCAGG